CAGCAGCCGCGGUAAUACAGAGGGUGCGAGCGUUAAUCGGAUUUACUGGGCGUAAAGCGCGCGUAGGUGGUUUGUUAAGUUGGAUGUGAAAGCCCCGGGCUCAACCUGGGAACUGCAUCCAAAACUGGCAAGCUAGAGUACGGUAGAGGGUGGUGGAAUUUCCUGUGUAGCGGUGAAAUGCGUAGAUAUAGGAAGGAACACCAGUGGCGAAGGCGACCACCUGGACUGAUACUGACACUGAGGUGCGAAAGCGUGGGGAGCAAACAGGAUUAGAUACCCCUGUAGUCCCUGUCUCUUAUAA
This 301-nucleotide ribosomal RNA is filed under the name uncultured bacterium. RNAcentral's name for it is "partial 16S ribosomal RNA". It matches the Rfam family "Bacterial small subunit ribosomal RNA", at positions 509 to 809 of the family's 1533-position model. The record is from RNAcentral.